Molecule: long non-coding RNA, 1977 nt
Filed under: Gallus gallus (chicken)
Lineage: Eukaryota; Metazoa; Chordata; Aves; Galliformes; Phasianidae
Description: long non-coding RNA NONGGAT001481
Source: RNAcentral
CCCUGAAAACCAAUGGUAAGCUGAGAACCCAAUGGCCUUCAUUGAGGAGAUGCUCAAAAGCAAUGAGACCCCUCUGCCACUCUCUGUUCCAAAACCACACUUUCUCAAACAGCUCCUUAAUGCCCUUCUGACCUGACAUGCCUGUUAUAUGGCUGUUUGCACAGCCCAUCUUACCCCAGGGCAAAGAUGUGGGCUGGUGGACUUUGGGGGUAAGAAAGAACCUUAUACAAAGGGUAACACUGGAAGUGAAGGGUCACAGAGGCAGCAGAGGGUGGAAGGUACGGAACAUCUAAGAAAGAAUUAUUCUAUGUGCAUCUGGAAAAGGGACAGAGACUGUCAGACUGCAGCACAGGGAGCAAUGGCUGUGAACUUCAUGCUCACACAGCCUGAGUACCAAUGGGCACCAACUGAAGAACAAGUCAGUGCUUUCUUUAUUACAUGCACGGCAGAAGGCAGCAGCCCCAUCCCAGGCAGCACCAGCCCUGCUAUGUCACAGCCACGUCACCAGGGCAGCCACCAGCUCCAGGAACCACCCUGCCGCUGGCACAGCCAUGUCACAAGAGCACAGCACUGCUGGGGGCUGCGUUCCAGAGCCAGCUUGGUGUCACAGCAGCCUGGAAUGCUGACCAGAAGGGCAGUGCCAGCCAGAGGUGGCUGCUGAGUACCCGAGUGAGCGAGGGCUGUGGGGGGCAGCAGCAGCCCAUGGCCAUGGAUGGCGGCUGCUCCUCCUCUGCCUCACAGCCACACACACGGACAGGGACACAGCAGCACGGCGAGACGCUCCUGUGCUCACCCACGGGACAGAUAAGUCACUCCCAACCCACACCCCACCUCACUCCGACAGGACCCUGGAGGCUCCCCAAGGACCCCCGACUCUACCCCAUUGUUUGCUGCUGCUUCCCUGAGCCAGGACCCCACUGUAGGAGCUGGCAUCAGACAUGCUGAUUGCAGUGACCCUUUCCACUCACGGCUAUAGCACGGGCAGGCAGACCAACAACGGUGAGCAGUGCUGUGCAGGAGAGGGCAGCACAGGGAAGCAGGGCAGGAGGCUGCUCCUUUCUUCCCUCCCCUCUGCCUUGCAGAUGGACAGCCCAACACAAAUGGCACCAGGUGACCAUAAGUGCUGCAGCUCAGCCCUCCAAUCUGGUGCUGGCACCACACCAACUGAUGGCAGAGGCCGUGUCAACGUGGCGUUGGUGACACAGUGAGCCCCAAAUGGCCAAGGAAACCAUUUUCAGACCAGCAACCUGGUGAGCAGGGCUGUGCAGGAGAGAGCAGCACAGGGAAGCAGGGCAGGAGGCUGCUCCUCUCGUCCAUACCCUCUACUUUGCAGAUAGGCAUCAGCACUACGAUGGAACCAGAGCAGGACACACACCUGUCCUCAGCUCUCCAUCUGCUCUCCAUGCCACACAGGACAGAUAAGCCAGCCACAAAAAGUGCCCUUUCCAGGGAUCCCAGCAGGUCCCCAAGAUCCCCCUGCCCGCACCCCGAAGUUUGAUACAGCUUUCCUGAGCCAUGGCCCCACUGCAGGAGCUGGCAUCAGACCUGCUGAUUGCAGUGGCCCCUACCGCACAGCCUUGGGGACACAGUGAGCCCCACAUGGCCAUGGCAAUGUCUGGCAGACCUGCAACCCGGUGAGCAGUGCUGUGCAGGGGAGGGCAGCACAGGGAAGCAGGGCAGGAGGCUGCUCCUUUCUUCCCUCCCCUCUGCCUUGCAGAUGGACAGCCCAACACAAAUGGCACCAGGUGACCAUAAGUGCUGCAGCUCAGCCCUCCAAUCUGCUGUUCAUGGCCCACAAAAAAGAUAAGUCAGCCCCAUACUGCAGCCAGUCGAGCUCCUACAGGACCAUGGAAGCUCCCCAAGGUCCCCCUGGUCUUACCCCAAACCUCUUACUCUGCUAUGCUGAGUCCUGACCCCACUGCAGGUGCUGGCACCACACCAACUGAUGGCAGAGGCCGUGUCAACGUGGUGUUGGUG